UGCGAAGGGUGCAAGCGUUACUCGGAAUUACUGGGCGUAAAGCGUGCGUAGGUGGUGAGUUAAGUCUGAUGUGAAAUCCCCGGGCUCAACCUGGGAAUGGCAUUGGAUACUGGCUCGCUAGAGUGCGGUAGAGGGUGGUGGAAUUCCCGGUGUAGCAGUGAAAUGCGUAGAGAUCGGGAGGAACAUCUGUGGCGAAGGCGGCCACCUGGACCAACACUGACACUGAGGCACGAAAGCGUGGGGAGCAAACAGGG
Molecule: ribosomal RNA, 254 nt
Filed under: uncultured bacterium
Lineage: Bacteria
Description: partial 16S ribosomal RNA
Rfam family: Bacterial small subunit ribosomal RNA
Source: RNAcentral